RNAcentral lists this ribosomal RNA (637 nucleotides) under fungal endophyte. Its description in RNAcentral is "eukaryotic LSU rRNA". The stretch from base 178 to 331 matches the Rfam family "5.8S ribosomal RNA". Lineage: Eukaryota; Fungi. The record is from RNAcentral.
AAAGAGUUCUAUAACUCCCAAACCCAUGUGAACAUACCUAACGUUGCCUCGGCAGGUCGCACCUACCUUGUAGCACCUUACCCUGUAAGGCCUACCCGGGAGGUGCGGGUAAGCCUGCCGGCGGCCCACCAAACUCUGUUUGAUAUUGAAUUCUGAACCUAUAACUAAAUAAGUUAAAACUUUCAACAACGGAUCUCUUGGUUCUGGCAUCGAUGAAGAACGCAGCGAAAUGCGAUAAGUAAUGUGAAUUGCAGAAUUCAGUGAAUCAUCGAAUCUUUGAACGCAUAUUGCGCCCAUUAGUAUUCUAGUGGGCAGGACCGUUCGAGCGUCAUUUCAACCCUUAAGCCUUCGUUGCUUAGUGUUGGGAGCCUACGGCAACGUAGCUCCUCAAAGUUAGUGGCGGAGUUGGUUCACACUCUAGACGUAGUAAUUUUUUAUCUCGCCUAUUAGUUGAACUAAUACCCUGCCGUAAAACCCCCAAUUUAUCAAGGUUGACCUCGAAUCGGUUCAGACAAACUCGCUAAAUUGAAGCAUCUUAGUCAGCGAAGGAAAAGAAACCAACAGGGAUUGCCCUAGUAACGGCGAGUGAAGCGGCAACAGCUCAAAUUUGAAAUCUGGCCCUCGGGUCCGAGUUGUA